Neogale vison (American mink) is the source of this 1576-nucleotide long non-coding RNA. RefSeq lists it as uncharacterized. NCBI's taxonomy places the organism in Eukaryota, Metazoa, Chordata, Mammalia, Carnivora, Mustelidae. The transcript has 5 exons. The record is from RefSeq and is a predicted model, not a curated record.
UUGUGGGGCACCAGCCCGGGAUUGGCUGGUGAUGGAACCUUUGGGUUUGGAGGUCUUAAAUCUGGAAGCAAUCGACAAUCAAUAGGAAUAACUGAAAACCUAAACUUUCCCGAAAUGGAUGAGAGAAGAAAAAGUAGCUUUAUUCCACUGUCAGCAUUUUAGAAAUCUUGCUUCUUUUGGCAAGCGACCUCGGGAAAAGGAAAGGAACAUCUGAGGCUUUUGGUUUUAACAGAUACCUUUGAGAGGCUGGUUCUUGGGGCAACUCUUGAAUUCUCUUGAGACCCUUCCCCAGCAAAAACAGAAAGAAGAUGCGGAAAACAAUAUGCGGAAGAUGCGGAAAACAAUAUGAUGGUUGCCGGGUGAAGGUGUUGUGGGACUGGCAAAAUAAGGACCUGGGAUUAAAAGCAACUUCCGAUUAUGAGAAAGUGCAUUCUCCGCAUUGCGUAGCAUAAGACAGUCGAGACUGUUCCAGAAGGUAUAGGAGGCUUGAAGCUGCAGCUGUGGAUGGAGAGAGCCGGGCUAGGACCUUCCUUUCCAGGUUGCACAGGAGUAGAGUCGGCUGCAGGGAAGAGCACAGCUUCGGUUCGGUCCCUCGGCUGGUGCGGAUGUGUGAAGGGGACAUCAACAUGUGGGACGUGACCUGCGGAACUCUUGCUGUAAUAUUACGUUAAAUUUCACCUUUGGGGAAGAGGUAAUGAAGGGCAAGGAAAAGCUUUGAACUCCUUUACAUCAAUCCUGAACACACAGGAAUGGAAGUUACAACCGGUCAUAAUGACAUGCUAAAAGGGUUGGCCUUUGGAAAAAAAGAGAAGGAAAAAAAAAAAAAAACCUGGAUUAGUUUAUCCUGGGAAUGAAAAGCUGAAAGGAGAUGUGUUGUUCCGUGAUACAAAAAUGAGACUGUAGGGAUCUGCUGAUAUUUUUAAGCAUCAUCACACACACAAAGAGAGGAGGAGGAAUGGUAACACAGUUGAGUUUACAUGCACAGAGGCGAAUUGUAAACACUUAACUUGAGAUGUUCUCCUCUCUCUUGAAACAUCGCAUAUCCCUGAAAGUUGAGGGACUAGCUUAAUGGGGUCUUGUUUAAAAGCAAAGGUGUAUGGGCUGAGUCAUUUCUUUGUAGAUGGUGACAGUUUGUUAGAGCUAGAAGGACCUGAGACAUAGUUUCCCGCGUGGUGUCAAGCCCCUGGUUUCACAGAGUAGGGUGCUGAGGUCCCACACCGGCCUGGGGGCCCUCUGCCAUGUGAACCCCCUUCAGUCCUAAGACUCCUCAGUUGGUCAUCACUCACUUAGGCCCCAAAACUAUUGCUUCCUCUCACUCCAAGGAGGGGCAGUCAGGGAGCCCUUGGAAUCACCUUUGGACGCCAGGUGAGUCUAAGGGCCCUAACUUCCGGCUUCAAGCCCAGGACUUUGUCCUUUUCAUGGCAUGUCUCUUUCCUAGCUCUGGUCUCUGGAUCUUACUAAAAGGGAAAGAUACAGUAUCCUUUUAACUGGCUUAGACAAAAAUGAGACAAAACCACCAUCGUAUGUCGGCUAAUUGAAUUUAAAUAAAAAUUUUUAAAAAACCACCAUCAUAAAA